Molecule: ribosomal RNA, 126 nt
Organism: Schizosaccharomyces cryophilus OY26
Lineage: Eukaryota; Fungi; Ascomycota; Schizosaccharomycetes; Schizosaccharomycetales; Schizosaccharomycetaceae
Source: Rfam
AUCUACGGCCAUACCUAGGUGAAAACACCAGUUCCCGUCCGAUCACUGCAGUUAAGUGAAAACGUCUGAGGGGCCUCGUUAGUACUAUGGUUGGAGACAAAAUGGGAAUCCGGGGUGCUGUAGGCU